Molecule: ribosomal RNA, 365 nt
Filed under: uncultured rumen bacterium
Lineage: Bacteria
Description: bacterial SSU rRNA
Rfam family: Bacterial small subunit ribosomal RNA
Source: RNAcentral
UUGGCUCAGGAUGAACGCUGGCGGCGUGCUUAACACAUGCAAGUCGAGCGGGGAUAAGCUGAAUGAGAGCUUCGGCAGGAUUUUGGUAUAUUCCAGCGGCGGACGGGUGAGUAACGCGUGAACAAUCUGUCCCAGACAGGGGGAUAACACUUGGAAACAGGUGCUAAUACCGCAUAAGACCACGGCAUCGCAUGGUACAGGGGUAAAAGGAGCGAUCCGGUUUGGGGUGAGUUCGCGUCCGAUUAGAUAGUUGGUGAGGUAACGGCCCACCAAGUCGACGAUCGGUAGCCGACCUGAGAGGGUGAUCGGCCACAUUGGAACUGAGAGACGGUCCAAACUCCUACGGGAGGCAGCAGUGGGGAAUA